GUGGGGAAUAUUGCACAAUGGGGGCAACCCUGAUGCAGCGACGCCGCGUGAGUGAAGAAGUAUUUCGGUAUGUAAAGCUCUAUCAGCAGGGAAGAAAACAGACGGUACCUGACUAAGAAGCCCCGGCUAACUACGUGCCAGCAGCCGCGGUAAUACGUAGGGGGCAAGCGUUAUCCGGAAUUACUGGGUGUAAAGGGUGCGUAGGUGGCAUGGUAAGUCAGAAGUGAAAGCCCGGGGCUUAACCCCGGGACUGCUUUUGAAACUGUCAUGCUGGAGUGCAGGAGAGGUAAGCGGAAUUCCUAGUGUAGCGGUGAAAUGCGUAGAUAUUAGGAGGAACACCAGUGGCGAAGGCGGCUUACUGGACUGUCACUGACACUGAUGCACGAAAGCGUGGGGAGCAAACAGGA
Molecule: ribosomal RNA, 407 nt
Filed under: uncultured bacterium
Lineage: Bacteria
Description: bacterial SSU rRNA
Rfam family: Bacterial small subunit ribosomal RNA
Source: RNAcentral